GUAGUUAGUUUAACCUUCGGGAGAACGAUUACCACUUUGUGUUUCAUGACUGGGGUGAAGUCGUAACAAGGUAACCGUAGGGGAACCUGCGGUUGGAUCACCUCCUUACCUUAAAGAA
Molecule: ribosomal RNA, 118 nt
Filed under: Alteromonas ponticola
Lineage: Bacteria; Pseudomonadati; Pseudomonadota; Gammaproteobacteria; Alteromonadales; Alteromonadaceae
Description: Alteromonas sp. MYP5 partial 16S ribosomal RNA
Rfam family: Bacterial small subunit ribosomal RNA
Source: RNAcentral